This 423-nucleotide ribosomal RNA is filed under the name uncultured bacterium. RNAcentral's name for it is "bacterial SSU rRNA". It matches the Rfam family "Bacterial small subunit ribosomal RNA", at positions 202 to 622 of the family's 1533-position model. The record is from RNAcentral.
AAGACCUUGUGCUUUUGGAGCGGCCGAUGCCUGAUUAGCUAGUUGGUAGGGUAAAGGCCUACCAAGGCUUCGAUCAGUAGUUGGUCUGAGAGGACGACCAGCCACACUGGGACUGAGACACGGCCCAGACUCCUACGGGAGGCAGCAGUGGGGAAUUUUGGACAAUGGGGGCAACCCUGAUCCAGCCAUGCCGCGUGAGUGAAGAAGGCCUUCGGGUUGUAAAGCUCUUUCAGCCGGAACGAAACGGUUACGGUUAAUACCCGUGACUACUGACGGUACCGGAAGAAGAAGCACCGGCUAACUACGUGCCAGCAGCCGCGGUAAUACGUAGGGUGCAAGCGUUAAUCGGAAUUACUGGGCGUAAAGCGUGCGCAGGUGGUUUUGUAAGUCAGAUGUGAAAUCCCCGGGCUUAACCUGGGAACU